UACGUAGGUGGCAAGCGUUAUCCGGAAUUAUUGGGCGUAAAGCGCGCGCAGGCGGAUCAGUCAGUCUGUCUUAAAAGUUCGGGGCUUAACCCCGUGAGGGGAUGGAAACUGCUGAUCUAGAGUAUCUGAGAGGAAAGUAGAAUUCCUAGUGUAGCGGUGAAAUGCGUAGAUAUUAGGAAGAACACCAGUGGCGAAGGCGGCUUUCUGGACGAAAACUGACGCUGAGGCGCGAAAGCGUGGGGAGCGAACAGG
RNAcentral lists this ribosomal RNA (252 nucleotides) under uncultured bacterium. RNAcentral's name for it is "partial 16S ribosomal RNA". It matches the Rfam family "Bacterial small subunit ribosomal RNA", at positions 524 to 776 of the family's 1533-position model. The record is from RNAcentral.